GGAUGCCGAUCAUACCAGCACUAAAGCACCGGAUCCCAUCAGAACUCCGAAGUUAAGCGUGCUUGGGCGAGAGUAGUACUAGGAUAGGUGACCUCCUGGGAAGUCCUCGUGUUGCAUUCC
Molecule: ribosomal RNA, 120 nt
Filed under: Triticum urartu
Lineage: Eukaryota; Viridiplantae; Streptophyta; Magnoliopsida; Poales; Poaceae
Also listed under: 2 other names
Source: RNAcentral